AGUUGAAGCAUAUGUCCUGCGAGCUUAGGGGUGCUACAAGUUGACCACUGCAGCAGUAAAGAUGACUCUGAAGAAUGGCAUGGGAUGGAUCCUUUUGAAUGCACUUGAGCAGCGGUCUCCAACCACAGGGCCACAGAGCUGGAGCUGGAUCUACCAUGAAAGACUUCUGAAUCCAGGAAGAGUGACUGGGCAACAUGUUAUUCAGGGUCUCCCUCUGUUGUCCAAGGCUGGAGUGUAGUAGUGCUAUCACAGCUGACUGCAGCCUCAACCUUCCAGGCUGAAGCGAUCCUCCCAUCUCAACCUCCCACGUGGCUGAGACUAUAGGUGCUUGCCACUAUGCCCAACUAAUAUUUGGAAUUUUCCUAUACGUGGAUUCCAGAGGGGUGACAGCGAAAC
RNAcentral lists this long non-coding RNA (396 nucleotides) under Pongo abelii (Sumatran orangutan). RNAcentral describes it as "lincRNA". Lineage: Eukaryota; Metazoa; Chordata; Mammalia; Primates; Hominidae. The record is from RNAcentral.